AGAGCGAACGCUGGCGGCAGGCCUAACACAUGCAAGUCGAGCGGCCGUAGCAAUACGGCAGCGGCAGACGGGAGAGUAACACGUGGGAACGCGCCCUUCGGUUCGGGAUAACUCAGGGAAACUUGGGCUAAUACCGGAUACGCCCUUACGGGGAAAGAUUUAUUGCCGAAGGAACGGCCCGCGUCCGAUUAGCUUGUUGGUGAGGUAACGGCUCACCAAGGCGACGAUCGGUAGCUGGUCUGAGAGGAUGACCAGCCUCACUGGGACUGAGACACGGCCCAGACUCCUACGGGAGGCAGCAGUGGGGAAUAUUGGACAAUGGGCGCAAGCCUGAUCCAGCCAUGCCGCGUGGGUGAUGAAGGCCCUAGGGUUGUAAAGCCCUUUCGAGCGGGGAAGAUAAUGACGGUACCCGCAGAAGAAGCCCCGGCUAACUUCGUGCCAGCAGCCGC
RNAcentral lists this ribosomal RNA (449 nucleotides) under uncultured bacterium. Its description in RNAcentral is "SSU rRNA". It matches the Rfam family "Bacterial small subunit ribosomal RNA", at positions 26 to 518 of the family's 1533-position model. The record is from RNAcentral.